AGUGUUUCCCAUGUUGUGUGUCCAGUCUCUGCUCUGCUCACCCUCUCCGCAGGCCUCUGUCCAGCUCGGAUGAUGAUGGAAAGCAGAAGAAUGCAGGAAUGUGGAGGGAGAUCAUCCUGGUUGCUCACUGCAACGGUAUCAGUGACUCAGCUGACCCAUAAGGUAUUUGGAAAAGGAAGACUCGUCUGACACAUCGCAGAAGGACAGAGGUGGAGGGGAUGGGAACUUUUGCUCCUAUUAACCUGGUGUUUACAGUUUAAACAGGUGAAUGGGACUGUUAUACUUACCCACAGAGUAUUCGUUUUUAAAACCAGGUCUAUUUAAGUUUGCAGUUGCUUAGGUGAUGGAUGCUUGAGAAUGUGAGCUAUUCAAGAGAGGUCUGGUUAGUACAAGCUGAUAAGAGACGUAAUACUCCCACCUCUGCUCUUCACUUGGCCUUGUAUAUUCAGGGAAAAAGGAGGCGAUGCUCACUUGAAUUAUGAGAAAUUGUUGUCAUCAUGAGCUGAAUUUUUAUUUAUUUUUAUUUUUUUUGAGGAAGGGGGCAUAUCUUUCGGAAACAGAAAUGAUGCGAUAUAUGAUUUACUAAUUUUCUGUAAUCUGUCAGUGAAUGGCUCACAGUUCUUGAUCUCAAACGAAGCAGACACCCUCUGGACACAUCUCACUGCAAGAAUAUGAAGAUUUGCUAGCAAUUUUAAACCAGACAUAACCAUUCUGUAGAGAUAAGUGACUUUGUGACAAAAUGAAAAGGCAGCCUCUUAACAGGUCAGGUCUUAGUCACCCUGUUGAAAAGGUGCCUCAUACCUCAGUCUUGUUAGCAGAAUGAGCAAACAUUCCGAUCUUACCUGUCUGGAAUCACAAACUAUUUUUUGUUCUUUGACCGAACACUAAACUGUUCAUCUCUUAACAUCCCUAUUGUACCCUAAGGUCUACUUCAGAGUGUAAUGAAACAAAAUGAUAAUUCAAAUCACAAAGCCCGAGUGAUGGUGAUCUAAACAUGUAAAACAAAAUUAAAUUACCAUUUACAAUGAAAGAGUCAAUGUACAACUGUUUUCAAGACUGAUAAUAAUAAAUGUUUCUUGAGCACCAAAUGAGCCUAUUAGAAUGAUUUCUAAAGGAUCAUGUGAAACUGAAGACUGGAGUAACGUCAGG
Molecule: long non-coding RNA, 1149 nt
Organism: Cyprinus carpio (common carp)
Lineage: Eukaryota; Metazoa; Chordata; Actinopteri; Cypriniformes; Cyprinidae
Source: RefSeq, a predicted model, not a curated record